This 207-nucleotide ribosomal RNA is filed under the name uncultured bacterium. RNAcentral's name for it is "partial 16S ribosomal RNA". It matches the Rfam family "Bacterial small subunit ribosomal RNA", at positions 568 to 774 of the family's 1533-position model. The record is from RNAcentral.
CACGUAGGCGGCCUGGUAAGUCAGAUGUGAAAGCCCGGGGCUUAACCCCGGAAGUGCAUUUGAUACUGUCAGGCUUGAGUAUGGGAGAGGGAAGUGGAAUUCCUGGUGUAGAGGUGAAAUUCGUAGAUAUCAGGAGGAACACCGGCGGCGAAGGCGACUUCCUGGACCAAUACUGACGCUGAGGUGCGAAGGCGUGGGUAGCAAACA